This 842-nucleotide long non-coding RNA is filed under the name Homo sapiens (human). Its description in RNAcentral is "HSALNT0252594". Lineage: Eukaryota; Metazoa; Chordata; Mammalia; Primates; Hominidae. The record is from RNAcentral.
UAAUUUUGGUACACUUAUACAUUUUUCCUAGUACUAUUUCCAUAAGUGAUAGAAAAAAUGUCAAAUAUAAGUGUAUCAAUUUGAGUGUAAGAGCUUGUGAGAUCUUCAAUUUUUCGAUUUUUAUGCGAUAGGACUAUUUGGAAAAGAUUUUGGUGGCUGGGACUGUAGUUGUUUUGACAUUAAUGGUGAUGAGGUAUAAGAUACAGGCAUCAAAGUGACAGUUAAGGAGGACUGUUUCCUAUUUCCUCAGUUUAAUCUUCUCAGGUGAGUUUGAAGGUGCCAAAUAACAUAGAUUCCAGGAUUUGGAAAGGCCACACAGGUGUACAGUGAAAUAAUGAAGGAUUUAAAAGUUGUGUUGGAGAGAAAUAGAGUGAGCACAGACAUAAGAUUUCAAGGAAUAAGGAGGAGUAAACCACAGUCAGUGCUACUGGCAACAAGAAAAGAUUGACUCAUGAUAUGAAAGUCCAAGCUGAAGGCGGAGAGGGAAGGCUCUAGAAAAAGCAAUGCAGAACGAAGAAGUCACAUCCGUCACUUUCAAGCCUAGGUGUAUGAGGUGUGGGGGAGGAAAGCACAGGCAUCCCUGAGAAGCCUGUUGGAGAAUCAGCAUCCUCAGGGGAGAUUCGAGUUUCAAUCGGAGCAAGAAGCAUCCCAGAGGCACUUUAACCAAACCCUGGAGAGAGAAGAAAUAAGGUUUGAAAACCACUAGACUACAUAUUUGGAUUAGACAGCUAUUGCUUAGAAUAGGACAGACUCUUUUCAAAGAGUGAUGUGUGAAUGAACUGUCUAGAGAUAUUAAAGUUAUAAAAGUAUAUUGGUUUAGGUUAUUGUUAGACAGCAGGCCU